GACCUCGAAUCAGGUGGGACUACCCGCUGAACUUAAGCAUAUCAAUAAGCGGAGGAAAAGAAACUAACAAGGAUUCCCCUAGUAACGGCGAGUGAAGCGGGAUGAGCUCAAAUUUAAAAUCUGGCGGUCUUUGAUUGCCCGAAUUGUAAUCUAGAGAAGUGUUUUCCGCGCUGGACUGUGUACAAGUUUCCUGGAUACGGAACAUCAUAGAGGGUGAGAAUCCCGUCCUUGACACAGACUCCCAGUGCUUUUGUGAUGCGCUCUCGACGAGUCGAGUUGUUUGGGAUUGCAGCUCAAAAUGGGAGGUAAAUUCCUUCUAAAGCUAAAUAUUGGCGAGAGACCGAUAGCGAACAAGUACCGUGAGGGAAAGAUGAAAAGCACUUUGGAAAGAGAGUUAAACAGUACGUGAAAUUGUUAAAAGGGAAACGCUUGAAGUCAGUCACGUUUGCUUGGAUUCAGCCUUACUUCGGUUUGGUGCAUUUCCUUGCUGACGGGCCAGCGUCCAUGUUGUUUGCCGGAGAAGGGGUGAGGGAAUGUGGCUCCUUCGGGAGUGUUAUAGCCUUCAUUCGCAUGCGGGGAGCGAUAUGGAGUGAUACAGCACG
Molecule: ribosomal RNA, 602 nt
Filed under: uncultured fungus
Lineage: Eukaryota; Fungi
Description: eukaryotic LSU rRNA
Rfam family: Eukaryotic large subunit ribosomal RNA
Source: RNAcentral